This 1395-nucleotide ribosomal RNA is filed under the name Brevibacterium sp. EB8b. RNAcentral's name for it is "bacterial SSU rRNA". It matches the Rfam family "Bacterial small subunit ribosomal RNA". The record is from RNAcentral. Lineage: Bacteria; Bacillati; Actinomycetota; Actinomycetes; Micrococcales; Brevibacteriaceae.
CAAUGCAGUCGAACGCUGAAGCCUGGUGCUUGCACCGGGUGGAUGAGUGGCGAACGGGUGAGUAACACGUGAGUAACCUGCCCCUGACUUCGGGAUAAGCCCGGGAAACUGGGUCUAAUACCGGAUACGACUGCCGGACGCAUGUCUGGUGGUGGAAAGUUUUUUCGGUUGGGGAUGGGCUCGCGGCCUAUCAGUUUGUUGGUGAGGUAAUGGCUCACCAAGACGACGACGGGUAGCCGGCCUGAGAGGGCGACCGGCCACACUGGGACUGAGACACGGCCCAGACUCCUACGGGAGGCAGCAGUGGGGAAUAUUGCACAAUGGGGGAAACCCUGAUGCAGCGACGCAGCGUGCGGGAUGACGGCCUUCGGGUUGUAAACCGCUUUCAGCAGGGAAGAAGCGCAAGUGACGGUACCUGCAGAAGAAGUACCGGCUAACUACGUGCCAGCAGCCGCGGUAAUACGUAGGGUACGAGCGUUGUCCGGAAUUAUUGGGCGUAAAGAGCUCGUAGGUGGUUGGUCACGUCUGCUGUGGAAACGCAACGCUUAACGUUGCGCGUGCAGUGGGUACGGGCUGACUAGAGUGCAGUAGGGGAGUCUGGAAUUCCUGGUGUAGCGGUGAAAUGCGCAGAUAUCAGGAGGAACACCGGUGGCGAAGGCGGGACUCUGGGCUGUAACUGACACUGAGGAGCGAAAGCAUGGGGAGCGAACAGGAUUAGAUACCCUGGUAGUCCAUGCCGUAAACGUUGGGCACUAGGUGUGGGGGGCAUUCCACGUUCUCCGCGCCGUAGCUAACGCAUUAAGUGCCCCGCCUGGGGAGUACGGUCGCAAGGCUAAAACUCAAAGGAAUUGACGGGGGCCCGCACAAGCGGCGGAGCAUGCGGAUUAAUUCGAUGCAACGCGAAGAACCUUACCAAGGCUUGACAUACACCGGACCGUCCUGGAAACAGGUCCUCUUCUUUGAAGCUGGUGUACAGGUGGUGCAUGGUUGUCGUCAGCUCGUGUCGUGAGAUGUUGGGUUAAGUCCCGCAACGAGCGCAACCCUCGUUCUAUGUUGCCAGCACGUGAUGGUGGGAACUCAUAGGAGACUGCCGGGGUCAACUCGGAGGAAGGUGGGGAUGACGUCAAAUCAUCAUGCCCUUUAUGUCUUGGGCUUCACGCAUGCUACAAUGGCUGGUACAGAGAGAGGCGAACCCGUGAGGGCAAGCGAAUCCCUUAAAGCCAGUCUCAGUUCGGAUCGUAGUCUGCAAUUCGACUACGUGAAGUCGGAGUCGCUAGUAAUCGCAGAUCAGCAACGCUGCGGUGAAUACGUUCCCGGGCCUUGUACACACCGCCCGUCAAGUCACGAAAGUCGGUAACACCCGAAGCCGGUGGCCUAACCGUAAGGAGGGGGCCG